CCUACGGGUGGCAGCAGUGGGGAAUAUUGCACAAUGGGCGCAAGCCUGAUGCAGCCACGCCGCGUGUGUGGAGAAGGCCUUCGGGUUGUAAAGCACUUUCAGCGAGGAGGAAGGUGGUGAGCUUAAUACGCUCAUCAAUUGACGUUACUCGCAGAAGAAGCACCGGCUAACUCCGUGCCAGCAGCCGCGGUAAUACGGAGGGUGCAAGCGUUAAUCGGAAUUACUGGGCGUAAAGCGCACGCAGGCGGUUUGUUAAGUCAGAUGUGAAAUCCCCGGGCUCAACCUGGGAACUGCAUUUGAAACUGGCAGGCUAGAGUCUUGUAGAGGGGGGUAGAAUUCCAGGUGUAGCGGUGAAAUGCGUAGAGAUCUGGAGGAGUACCGGUGGCGAAGGCGGCCCCCUGGACAAAGACUGACGCUCAGGUGCGAAAGCGUGGGGAGCAAACAGGAUUAGAUACCCCUGUAGUC
Molecule: ribosomal RNA, 465 nt
Filed under: uncultured bacterium
Lineage: Bacteria
Description: bacterial SSU rRNA
Rfam family: Bacterial small subunit ribosomal RNA
Source: RNAcentral